UUCCUGCCAACUUCCAACUCCUGGAAUCCCA
RNAcentral lists this non-coding RNA (31 nucleotides) under Rattus norvegicus (Norway rat). Lineage: Eukaryota; Metazoa; Chordata; Mammalia; Rodentia; Muridae. The record is from RNAcentral.